This 468-nucleotide ribosomal RNA is filed under the name uncultured bacterium. RNAcentral describes it as "partial 16S ribosomal RNA". It matches the Rfam family "Bacterial small subunit ribosomal RNA", at positions 28 to 507 of the family's 1533-position model. The record is from RNAcentral.
GACGAACGCUGGCGGCGUGCUUAACACAUGCAAGUCGAACGGAAAGGCCCUGCUUUUGUGGGGUGCUCGAGUGGCGAACGGGUGAGUAACACGUGAGUAACCUGCCCUUGACUUUGGGAUAACUUCAGGAAACUGGGGCUAAUACCGGAUAGGAGCUCCUGCUGCAUGGUGGGGGUUGGAAAGUUUCGGCGGUUGGGGAUGGACUCGCGGCUUAUCAGCUUGUUGGUGGGGUAGUGGCUUACCAAGGCUUUGACGGGUAGCCGGCCUGAGAGGGUGACCGGCCACAUUGGGACUGAGAUGCGGCCCAGACUCCUACGGGAGGCAGCAGUGGGGAAUAUUGCACAAUGGGCGGAAGCCUGAUGCAGCGACGCCGCGUGCGGGAUGACGGCCUUCGGGUUGUAAACCGCUUUCGCCUGUGGCGAAGCGUGAGUGACGGUAAUGGGUGAAGAAGCACCGGCUAACUACGUG